GAUGCAGACACGAGCACAGGAGAAUCUAGCAAGAGGAGGAACCCCCACUACCUUUCCCGGGAGGCCUCGGAAGACAGUGACGUGUUCGGGGAGGCAGAUGUGGAUG
Lynx canadensis (Canada lynx) is the source of this 106-nucleotide long non-coding RNA. RefSeq lists it as uncharacterized. Lineage: Eukaryota; Metazoa; Chordata; Mammalia; Carnivora; Felidae. The record is from RefSeq and is a predicted model, not a curated record. The transcript is spliced from 3 exons.